GAUGAACGCUGGCGGCGUGCUUAACACAUGCAAGUCGAACGGUGAAAGCGGAGCUUGCUCUGCUGGAUCAGUGGCGAACGGGUGAGUAACACGUGAGCAAUCUGCCCCUGACUCUGGGAUAAGCGCUGGAAACGGCGUCUAAUACCGGAUACGAGCUGCGAAGGCAUCUUCAGCAGCUGGAAAGAAUUUCGGUCAAGGAUGGACUCGCGGCCUAUCAGCUAGUUGGUGAGGUAAAGGCUCACCAAGGCGACGACGGGUAGCCGGCCUGAGAGGGUGAUUGGACACACUCGGAGUGAGACACGGCCCAGACUGCUACGGGAGGCAGCAGUGGGGAAUAUUGCUAAAUGGGCGCAAGCCUGGUGCAACAAUGACGUGUGAGGGAUGACGGCCUUCGGGUUGUAACCCUCUUUUGGCAGGGAAGAAGCGAAAGUGACGGUACCUGCAGAAAAAGCACCGGCUAACUACGUGCCAGCCGCCGCCGUAA
RNAcentral lists this ribosomal RNA (484 nucleotides) under uncultured bacterium. RNAcentral's name for it is "partial 16S ribosomal RNA". It matches the Rfam family "Bacterial small subunit ribosomal RNA", at positions 28 to 523 of the family's 1533-position model. The record is from RNAcentral.